This 442-nucleotide ribosomal RNA is filed under the name uncultured bacterium. RNAcentral describes it as "partial 16S ribosomal RNA". It matches the Rfam family "Bacterial small subunit ribosomal RNA", at positions 338 to 795 of the family's 1533-position model. The record is from RNAcentral.
CCUACGGGUGGCAGCAGUGGGGAAUAUUGGGCAAUGGGCGCAAGCUUGACCCAGCAACGCCGCGUGAAGGAAGAAGGCUUUCGGGUUGUAAACUUCUUUUAAGAGGGAAGAGCAGAAGACGGUACCUCUUGAAUAAGCUACGGCUAACUACGUGCCAGCAGCCGCGGUAAUACGUAGGUGGCAAGCGUUGUCCGGAUUUACUGGGUGUAAAGGGCGUGUAGCCGGGCUGACAAGUCAGAUGUGAAAUCCCGUGGCUCAACCACGGAACUGCAUUUGAAACUGUCGGUCGUGAGUAUCGGAGAGGCAGGCGGAAUUCGUGGUGUAGCGGUGAAAUGCGUAGAUAUUAGGAAGAACACCGGUGGCGAAGGCGGCCUGCUGGACGACAACUGACGGUGAGGCGCGAAAGCGUGGGGAGCAAACAGGAUUAGAUACCCUAGUAGUC